Molecule: ribosomal RNA, 582 nt
Filed under: Ophiocordyceps sinensis
Lineage: Eukaryota; Fungi; Ascomycota; Sordariomycetes; Hypocreales; Ophiocordycipitaceae
Description: SSU rRNA
Rfam family: Eukaryotic small subunit ribosomal RNA
Source: RNAcentral
CAGCAGCCGCGGUAAUUCCAGCUCCAAUAGCGUAUAUUAAAGUUGUUGUGGUUAAAAAGCUCGUAGUUGAACCUUGGGCCUGGCUGGGCGGUCCGCCUCACCGCGUGUACUGGUCCGGCCGGGCCUUUCCCUCUGUGGAACCCCAUGCCCUUCACUGGGCGUGGCGGGGAAACAGGACUUUUACUUUGAAAAAAUUAGAGUGCUCCAGGCAGGCCUAUGCUCGAAUACAUUAGCAUGGAAUAAUGAAAUAGGACGCGCGGUUCUAUUUUGUUGGUUUCUAGGACCGCCGUAAUGAUUAAUAGGGACAGUCGGGGGCAUCAGUAUUCAAUGGUCAGAGGUGAAAUUCUUGGAUCCAUUGAAGACUAACUACUGCGAAAGCAUUUGUCAAGGAUGUUUUCAUUAAUCAGGAACGAAAGUUAGGGGAUCGAAGACGAUCAGAUACCGUCGUAGUCUUAACCAUAAACUAUGCCGACUAGGGAUCGGACGAUGUUAUUUUUUGACUCGUUCGGCACCUUACGAGAAAUCAAAGUGCUUGGGCUCCAGGGGGAGUAUGGUCGCAAGGCUGAAACUUAAAGGAAUUGG